GAGAGCAAGAACAGCCCGCAGGUCCCGAGGCGCUUGCAGGGGACUCUGCCGCGGAAAGUUCCCAGUCCCCAGCCGCAGGUGUUUUCCCUCCUGCUGAUCGUGGAAAGAAAUCACCAAGAAGAGGGGAAAGUUGCCCCGGGGCCGAAGCUUUUUAUUUUUGGUUGAUUCCUGCUGUCUACUCCUCUUGGUGAAGUCCUUCUACCUAGUUCCCCUUCCUUGUGCACAGAAGAGGACUGGAAAACUCCUCACAGGACUGCAUACUGCUAUCUCUGAGAAACCAGAAAGAAGAAAGUACCUCUUCCUUCCAAGCUUCUACCUAAGAGUAUACUGGAAGGUUUACCUAGAGCAACAAGACAACGAAAUGGAUUGUCCUUCUCACGCUAGUCCACACACAAUCCUCAUCAUUUUGAUAAGAUAGCAUGAAGUCUCUUAUCGCUUGUGGAUCCAGCACUUUGGUUCAGAAAUGAGACAGUCAUCAUCUUCAAGGUGAAGAAAUACAGUUUGUCCCUUCCUCUCAAAAUGAAGAAAGCUACAUUCAUGUAUAUGUAUCUGGACUUCAUUAAUUUGUUUCUAUUUCCAUUUUGUUACCUCUCUGAGACAAGUAUGAAGCUUGUCUCUAAAAUUAUAGUUAUGUACUAUUACUCAUUUGAAAUGAUAAUAAUUACUCAUUAAUAAAUACUAAAAUAUUUGAAACCACAAAGCAUUUAAAUUCCUCAUAAGGGGCUAUAGAUGGAAUUAUAAGAGAAAAUACCCUUAAGGUGAUUCCCCAUGACGAUGAAUUAUUCCUGGAGAAUUUGCAACCCUACUGUGACCAUUAGUAUCUGCUGGAUUUCCCUGCUCUAAGAGGCUAAUGUAUCUGACCAACUAAUCAGAGGAACCAUGAGAGCAGAUGAUGCCUGAACCUUCAUUACUUGUCUUUCCUGCUUCUGUAAUUUUGAUGCUUUGUUAUUUUCUGUCUCUGUGCUCAAACACUGAUUGGUUAUUCAAACCAAUGACAAGCUGAAGAAUUGGACAGUCUUCCAGGUGAUUUAUUUUCUAUUUCUUAUUUCUGAAACCUAAAUGUAGCUCAUGUUGUGUAAGAAAAGUCAUCUCUUGACUUUCUGAAAAAUAAUUUUCUGAUCUUUGUCUUGUAUUGUCAAUAGCUUCCUAUACCCUAUACAAACACCAUUGCACUGGCGUGGUAGAGAAAUGCCAUCUAACCUUUUAUUUAAUGAUUAUUAUGUUGGCUGUACUAGAUAAACACAAACCACAGAAAUCAAAA
This 1261-nucleotide long non-coding RNA is filed under the name Mus musculus (house mouse). Its description in RNAcentral is "RIKEN cDNA 2610316D01 gene". Lineage: Eukaryota; Metazoa; Chordata; Mammalia; Rodentia; Muridae. The record is from RNAcentral.